RNAcentral lists this ribosomal RNA (21 nucleotides) under Tricholoma matsutake. RNAcentral describes it as "partial 18S ribosomal RNA". The record is from RNAcentral. Lineage: Eukaryota; Fungi; Basidiomycota; Agaricomycetes; Agaricales; Tricholomataceae.
GUGAACUGCGGAAGGACAUUA